GGAAUAUAGCUCAGUUGGUAGUGUGCUUGCCUUGCAUGCACAGGAUCCUGGGUUCAAUCCCCAGUACCA
Molecule: transfer RNA, 69 nt
Filed under: Marmota monax (woodchuck)
Lineage: Eukaryota; Metazoa; Chordata; Mammalia; Rodentia; Sciuridae
Description: tRNA.Ala
Source: RNAcentral